UACGUAGGGAGCGAGCGUUGAUCGGAAUUAUUGGGCGUAAAGCGUGCGCAGGCGGUUGUUUAAGUCAAGUGUGAAAACCCAGAGCUCAACUUUGGGAUGUCCUUUGAGACUACCUAGCUAGAGUUAGGCAGAGGGGGGUGGAAUUCCAAGUGUAGCGGUGAAAUGCGUAGAUAUAUGGAGGAAUACCGGUGGCGAAGGCAGCUCCCUGGGACGUAACUGACGCUCAGGCACGAAAGCGUGGGUAGCAAACAGG
Molecule: ribosomal RNA, 253 nt
Filed under: uncultured bacterium
Lineage: Bacteria
Description: partial 16S ribosomal RNA
Rfam family: Bacterial small subunit ribosomal RNA
Source: RNAcentral